UCCAUGAACUGACGGAUGGUGGUGAUCUCACGUAGGAUGCCUUCCAUGACGGGAGGCCCGGUGUCCCGCGUGGACAGCCCCAAGCCCAGGUUUCUCCCGGAGUCUCUAGAUCCCUCGCAGCUGUGAUGGUUGCAGUGAACCGCUUAAAAAAUCAGAGAGCGGCAGGUCAGAUCCCUGCGAGACGAGCGAGCAGACCUUCUUGUUGCGAAUGCAGAGCAGGACUGUGGCCUUCUCCAGCACCAGGUGUUUGACCCACUGUGGCACACGAGACUGAAGAUCCUGCUUGUGCACCAGCCUCACGAUCAAAACAGACUCGACUGGUCCAUAUCAUCCAGUGUCUUCAUCGAAGUGAAAGCGCUCUCAAUAAAGCUGUGGUCCAUUGAGCCAUAUUUGUCUAGCAAGCAAGCAGACAUGGACAUCUCCUUGACUUCGUUCUCACUGUAAUGCAAAAGCUUCACUACAAAAAUGGACAAUGACAAACUAAGCACCAGCAGCGCCAUGCAAACAGCAAAGAAGACUCCUAUGUGAAGCCCAGGAGAAUGCUGGUCUUGAAAGUGAUGCGAGUUCCACUGUUUGGAGGCAGAUAGAAACUGGUGACAUCCACCACCAUGAAGAAGAUGCUCGGGAUGAGCAGACUUACCACGUACAGCAGGGGGCGCCUGCGGAUCAGCACCUUCAGAGAGAGACAGAGUGGCUGGGAUUGAACGCUCUCUGGGUGAUAUUUAUUUCAUCACUUGCCAUCAGAAAAAUGUGCUCUCGAAGCAGUCUAAAAUGGCUGUGUCUGAAGGGGAAUUACAUAACAAGCUUAAGCCUUCUCCCCAUUUCCUGGAUUUGCUAAAUCAGUCCAAUUUCUCAUUCUAGAAGUGAAAUUGUUUUCCCACACCUCAGCUCCCCCUGAGAACCCAACUUCACUGCCAUUGAGCUAUUUCCUCUCGCUGCCCCUCAUCUGGAUCAGGACCAUCCAUUUCACUUUCCUUAUUUAAGUUUGCUUAAGCUUUCACAGUACAACAAAGAGCAAUUUCAUACUGACUUAAACAUGUUCCCCACCCAUUUGGCCAAUGAGUAAAAACACAAAUAUGGAUCUCUAAAUGGCUUUCGGCAAUGAGCCGCAGAGCAAAGGUAAUCAAAGAACACCGCUGUUUCCAUGGUGUGCGCAUCUUAGUGGAACAGGGUGGAUUGCCCAUGAGCUUUGAGCUAUUGGCCCAUUCCUCCCACUGAACACGACGCUCAUUGAUCAAAUGCCAGAAAGACAGUCUCAUUAUCAUCAUCCUUGCUGUGUGUUGUCUGCUGCUAAGCCUCAUCUAUUAGUAUUAUAGCAUUAGUGUGACUCCACUAACAGCCAUGCAAAGGUUGGAGAAGGGUUGUGACACGUCAGACUGCUGUCAAUACUCUAGCGUGUCCGGCAGACUGUUACGUGCCUAAUCUCUCCAUCAGCCUCCAAAAUUAACAUCUGUCAAACACCAGUCAAAUUUGGCAGUGAUGAGUAAAUAAAAAUGUAUAUUGAAAUUAAAAAAUGUAUAUUGAAAUUAAAAAAAUGUAAAUAAAAUGUAAUUCAAUUUAAAUUUAAAAACAAUAUAUAUUUUUUUUAAUUAAAUCAUUUUAAAGUUGCAAUGUGCAGGAAGUAGUGACAGAUCUUUUCUUCCAUACUGUGACGUGCAUCUGAGUUAAACGAUUGUUGUAAAAGAAAAAAAUGCCGGGCAGAGACUUAGUUUUUAUCCAUGGUUGUUGACUGAAUGUGAACUUGCAAUCGACUGUAAUAAAGGGCCAGGGUUAAAGCAGACAAAAUGAUUGGAGAUGUCUAAUCCAAAACUCCAAAUACUACAUCUAAUUUAACCCACAUACAUUCAGUACACUCAUGUAAAGCAACAUAAAAAUCUCAACUGCUUGGAUACUUACAUCGUUCCAAAAAGUAAACUAUAUUAUCUGACAGCAAUAUAUUUAAAGGGUUAGUUCACCCAAAAAUGAAAUUUCUGUCAUUAAUUACUCACCCUCAUGUAGUUCCACACCCGUAAGACCAAAACAUCUUCAGAACACACAAUUAGAACAUUCUGACGUAGAACCUGGAAGCACUGAAUGUAAAUAGCGUAUGAGAAUGACAGGGAAGAGAAGAAUUUGUUGAAUAAAGCCAUUUUUUUUUAAGUAUUCUCGUAUUAAAGUAUUCUCGUCACUUCAUAACAUUAAGAUUGAACCACUGUAGUCACGCUGACUAUUUUAACAAAUGUAUUUUUUUGUUUUUGCUACUUUUCUGGACCUUGGAUGUGGUAAUUUCGUUGCCUUCUUUGGAGGUUAAAAAAAACUUCUUGGAUUUCAUCAAAAAUAUCUUAAUUUGUGUUCCGAAGUUGAACGAAGGUCUUACGGGUGUAGAACGACAUGAGGGUGAGUAAUUAAUCACAGAAAUUGAAUUUUUGGGUGAACUAACCCUUUAAAUUUGGAUAUAUAUAUAGUGCGUACAUACAGUACACUCAUGUAAAACAAAUAUAUAUAUAUAUAUAUAUAUAUAUAUAUAUAUAUAUAUCUUGGCUAUAUGAUUUAAAUUUUAUACUAAUUCAUUUUAUUAGUAUAAUUACAGUAUCCGCAUAGUCGCACUCAUGUAAAGCGAUAUACACUACAUCGCCCAGCUAAAUGCUUUAAGAUAUUAAUAUAUUACAAACAUUAACGUUUUCUGAUUUUCUGCUGCUUUGAAACAAUGUAUAUUGUAAUUGAAAUUGAAAAAUUGAAAUCUAAAGCUGCCAUUGAAUGUCAUUUUUAC
This is a long non-coding RNA of Ctenopharyngodon idella (grass carp), 2749 nucleotides long. RefSeq lists it as uncharacterized. The record is from RefSeq and is a predicted model, not a curated record. NCBI's taxonomy places the organism in Eukaryota, Metazoa, Chordata, Actinopteri, Cypriniformes, Xenocyprididae. The transcript has 4 exons.